GCGUCGGUGGUGCAACGGUUAGCAUACGCUCUUGGAAAGAGUGAGAUCUGGGUGCGAAUUCCGGCUGAUACA
This is a non-coding RNA of Parelaphostrongylus tenuis, 72 nucleotides long. The record is from the annotation of a GenBank genome assembly. NCBI's taxonomy places the organism in Eukaryota, Metazoa, Nematoda, Chromadorea, Rhabditida, Metastrongylidae.